RNAcentral lists this long non-coding RNA (30512 nucleotides) under Hordeum vulgare. RNAcentral's name for it is "long non-coding RNA (HVUL_LNC004933)". The record is from RNAcentral. Lineage: Eukaryota; Viridiplantae; Streptophyta; Magnoliopsida; Poales; Poaceae.
AGAUAAAUGGAGGGGGCGAAAGGUUAGAUCAAAUCCAGCCAAGCAAUCCGGAUAUCCUCAACCUCCCCCUCCAUUCCAUUGGACCAGAAGCGCACGGCCAAGACCCGUCCCUCCCCUCCCCUCCCCUCCCGCCGCACCAAGCCCAGGCACCAAACAAAAAACCAAUCACCACUCGAGAAAGUUACGCACCAAGAAAAUAGCAGGAGGAAAAACAGGCCACUCCUCUGGCUCGUGCGCCUGCGCUCACUCCGAGAAAAGAAAAAUCGCCUCACCCAAUCCAAUCCAGCGCAGCGCAGCGCUGCUGUUCCUGGGAUUCGAGAGGGAGCCUGAGCUGCCCGGUUCUUGGCUGGCUCCAUGGUUUCUCCGACGUGCCUUUGAUCCGAGGACGAGGAGGCUUUCUUGGAUAGGUGGUGGUGGUUCUUGGAUAGGAUAGGAGGGGAGAGGAGAGAGGAUAGGGUUGUGGGUUGGCCGGCCAUGUCGGUGUCGUCCUCGUCUAUGUGCGGCGGGGACGCCGGGAUGAAGUGCGUGGUGUGGUUCCGGAGGGACCUCAGGGUGGAGGACAACCCGGCGCUGGCGGCGGCGGNNNNNNNNNNNNNNNNNNNNNNNNNNNNNNNNNNNNNNNNNNNNNNNNNNNNNNNNNNNNNNNNNNNNNNNNNNNNNNNNNNNNNNNNNNNNNNNNNNNNNNNNNNNNNNNNNNNNNNNNNNNNNNNNNNNNNNNNNNNNNNNNNNNNNNNNNNNNNNNNNNNNNNNNNNNNNNNNNNNNNNNNNNNNNNNNNNNNNNNNNNNNNNNNNNNNNNNNNNNNNNNNNNNNNNNNNNNNNNNNNNNNNNNNNNNNNNNNNNNNNNNNNNNNNNNNNNNNNNNNNNNNNNNNNNNNNNNNNNNNNNNNNNNNNNNNNNNNNNNNNNNNNNNNNNNNNNNNNNNNNNNNNNNCUACUUCCCCGGCCGCGUGUCGCGCUGGUGGCUCAGCCAGAGCCUCAAGCACCUGGAGGCCUCGCUCCACCGCCUCGGCGCAGGCAAGCUCGUCACCCGGAGGUCGGCCGACUCCGUCGCCGCGCUGCUCCAGCUCGUCCGCGACACCGGCGCCACGCACCUCUUCUUCAACCAUCUCUACGGUUUGCUCCCCUUUUUUUUCGGUUCAACAUAUGCCUUGCUUGUGUCUGCUCGUGCGCGCGUUUUCUAUCUGAAUAAACAACACAAGAAAAUACACUGCUACUCUUGUCGGCCGAGAUCUCCUUCUCUUUGUAGACGUUGAUGGGCCCAAGUUUGUGGUUUAUUAACGCUGUUUUGCUUCAACUUCUUUACCUUGGCUAGAUGAUACGAAGCAGAUUCUUUAAAUUUAAUUUGUUGUUCUUAUUGUUUUUGGGCUUGCAUCUGAUUUUCUCAAGUUGAACCAGAUCUGUUAUACUAUACUACAGUACACAGUAGUACCAUGUUAUCAUGUCAUAUCACAUCUCAAUUUAUUAUGCUUUCCGCUCCGGUGAUAUGGUACAACUCAUGGUGAGUCAAUUGGAGUAGCGAGUCCCAGUUCAGCAAUCUUGCGUCUACGCUUUCCAUAUUAACUAAGUCUAAACUAUGAACAUUUCCAGCAACUCCGUCCUUAAUUGCCAAAAGUUCUUGAUUCCACCCACCAACCAAAUCAUUUUUUUCCUUUUUGUGGGCACACCAACCUGCCGAUCCAACGAGGCAGUAACAGUAUUUAGCUAUGUUCUCUGUCUAGGCACUUGCACUUUCUACUACAGUCUCGGUUAAUUGCUUGUGCUGAGAACCCUCGUCCAUUAUCUAACUCAACAAUCAGUCAAUCACUGUGUCUUGGCCAUGUUUUUUCAGACCCGAUCUCGCUGGUCAGGGACCACCGGCUCAAGGAGAUGCUGACGUCAGAGGGCAUCGUCGUGCAGUCUUUCAACGCAGACCUGUUGUAUGAUCCAUGGGAGGUCAACGAUGAUGACGGCCAACCGUUCAACAUGUUCAUGCCGUUCUGGAAUAGGUGCCUCAGCAUGCCGUAUGAUCCCCCCGCGCCACUGCUGCCCCCUAAGAGAAUCAAUUCAGGUGCUUGCCCAACUGAAACAUUAUAAGUACUAUACUAAUAGCAGCUCAGGAAAGUGUUUCCAGUCACUUCUUGGGUUCAUGAAUCAUGAUAGAGUACUAUAUUUUUAUAGCCAUGAUAAGUAGACAAAGUGAUAGACUUAUUCUGCAGAAUAAAAGGUUUCAACCUUCUGUGUUUAAAGCAUAAUGUUUUUAUAACAAGCACUGCACCACAAGUUGAGGCUGGAAUGUAUUCUUCAGUUGAUUCACUGGCAAAAAAUAUAUUCAACAGGUGACCUAUCGAUGUGCCCGUCAGACGAUCUGAUCUUCGAGGAUGAGUCAGAGAGGGGAAGCAAUGCCCUUCUGGCACGAGCAUGGUCACCAGGCUGGCAGAACGCGGAUAAGGCGCUAUCUGCCUUCCUGAACGGCCCUUUGAUUGACUACUCGGUGAACCGCAAGAAGGCGGACAGCGCAAACACCUCCCUCCUUUCACCUUACCUGCAUUUUGGUGAGCUGAGUGUGCGCAAGGUUUUCCACCUUGUUCGAAUGAAGCAACUCGUGUGGAGCAAUGAGGGCAACCACGCAGCUGAGGAGAGCUGCACCCUGUUCCUCCGAUCCGUCGGUCUCCGGGAGUACUCCCGGUAUCUUUGCUUCAACCAUCCAUGCAGCCAUGAGAAGCCCCUCCUUGCACACCUCAGAUUCUUCCCUUGGGUUGUCGACGAAAGCACCUUCAAGUUUUGGCGCCAGGGAAGGACUGGUUACCCUCUUGUUGAUGCUGGCAUGAGGGAGUUGUGGGCGACUGGGUGGCUGCAUGAUCGGAUACGUGUGGUGGUUUCAAGUUUUUUCGUCAAGGUCCUUCAACUACCAUGGCGAUGGGGGAUGAAAUAUUUUUGGGACACUUUACUGGAUGCUGAUCUUGAGAGUGAUGCACUUGGUUGGCAGUACAUCUCUGGCUCUCUCCCUGAUAGCCGGGAGCUCGACCACAUUGACAACCCUCAGGUACGUGCAAGUACUAAUUCUAUAUAAAACGAGACAACUUGGCAAUGACGAAUAGUACUGAAUACUGAUGCUUCUCAUGUGAAUCUUUAUGAAUUAUAUCAGCUCGAAGGCUACAAGUUUGAUCCACAUGGGGAAUAUGUCCGACGGUGGCUUCCUGAACUUGCAAGGCUGCCAACAGAAUGGAUACACCACCCAUGGGAUGCACCUGCGUCUGUGCUGCAAGCUGCAGGAGUUGAGUUAGGCUCCAACUAUCCUCUCCCCAUAGUUGAGCUAGAUACAGCCCAAGUCAGGCUGCAAGAAGCUCUGUCAGAAAUGUGGCAGCUUGAGGCAGCAUCCAGGGCCGCAAUGGACACUGGAAUGGAGGAAGGCCUGGGCGACUCCUCGGAGGUGCCACCAAUCGAAUUUCCUCAAGAUUUGCAGAUGGAAGUCCAUUGGGAACCAGCGCGGGUAGCGCCCAAUGUGCUCACAACUGCACAGAGACGCCAGGAUCAGAUGGUGCCUACCAUGACAACUUCACUCAACAGGGUUGAAACAGAAAUUUCUGCUGAUUUGGGGAAUAGCGUGGAUAGUAGAGCAGAGGUGCCAUUCCGCAUGCAUUUUGAGCCACGGACUGAGAGGGAGGAAAUUAUUCAAAGCACGGGCAAUGCAGUUGGAACUAAUGGCAUUCACCAUCACAAUAACUUUCAGCAACCUCAGCACCGUAUGAGAAAUAUUUUUGCGCCAUCUGUGUCUGAAGCAUCAAGUAGCUGGACCGGGAGAGAUGGUGGCGUGGUCCCAGUUUGGUCGCCUCCUGCAGCAUCAGGCCAUUCUGAAACUUAUGGAGCCGAUGAAGCUGAUGUUUCUAGUAGGAGUUAUUUGGAUAGGCAUCCUCAGUCGCACCGGAUAAUGAACUGGCAUCAGCUAUCACAGUCACUGUAAGUCACACACACGGUAACUCAUUAUUCUCGGUGAACUACAUUGAUGUUGCCCUUGCAUUGCAGUUUUGUAAGUUUUUCACGAUAGUAUGAGAUUACGUUAGUGGUACUUUAUGCCAGCAAAGUGUCUGCCAAAAAUAAAAAGAAAUACAAAAAAAUAUAAAAAAUGGUUUUAUAUGUGAAGCAGCAUAAGGGCUAAAAUCAUGCUCUUUUAAGAUCAAGAAUCUAGGUGCUAGAGUGCCAUAUGAUCUGAUGCAGUUUCAAUUCCUAAAUCAGUUGAAUAGGAGGAACAAACUAUUUAUUUUACUACCUCGGUUUGCACAUGAGUUUUCAGUUUAUUGUGUUGGUGGAAUUGGAACUUGACAGAUCUCUCCAAUAACUACUUUUGUAUGCUUUUUUUCUUCUGAUGCUUAGAUCUUAGGGCAAGCGCCCAAAUCUGCCCUACCAUUUUUUUUAACAUGUACAACAUUUUGCUUUCCGUUGGAUGGUUGCCAAUCUUUUUGGCAUGGCCCUGCCCUUUUGGCCAUUACAAUUGAAGGUUCUUGCCAACCUUGGCCAAAACAUAAGAAACAAAAAUCAGUGCUAGCCAAUUUUCUGUAGGGUUGACUGGGUGUAUCACAACAUUCUGUGUUCUUGCAUCCACUCCGCAUCUAGGAUUCACACUAUAUAAUGCUCACAAACGCCGAUUCUGCAUUUAGCAGUGAAUUACUCAUUAUUUGUCUUCAGUUAUUUCCUCCGUCGCCAACUCAUGUGUGUGAAUGCUAACUAGUUUUUUUUUUCUUUUAUGAAUGAAUGCUAACUAGCUGUUCUCACAAAAAUGUAGCAUCGCUGCAGCAACACUGUUGCAUUGCCUUUUGCAACAUUGAUACCAACAUGCAUGGCUAAUCGGCUAUCACUCGUAUACGAUCUGAUAUAUGAAGAAUGUUGAAUUUCAGGACAACAGGCAGGGACGUGGAAAACUCCGUGCAGCCAAAUUACAUCGGUUAGAAAACAAGUUUUCCGGACGCAGAGCGGAGAUCCACGAAACUGGGAUGUAUAGUCGGAGGAGCAUGCAAGGCAGGCGUCUUCGUGGGAGUGAUAAUAGCUAUGUAAAUCUAAUCCUCUAGAACCUGCAAGGAUAUAUGCGUUAUAUAUAGCUUUGCUAGAGUUGGUCGAAAAAAGGAUGUGUAUUAUUGAUCAUCAGACAAUUGAGGGUUUCCUAGUGGGGGAUGCUUAUAUUUUUUGUAGGGGUGUGUUAUAUGUCUAUAUAGCUGCAAACUCCCCUGUGUGAUUGGCAAUCUUUGGUUACUCCUGGACGGUUUUGUGCAAUCAGAAUGUAUAUAUUGACCUUACAUGUGCUGCUAUACCUAACUGUGAUGUGGAUUGAAAGCAAUUUUGUUUGAUGGCGAUGGGCGCUGGGCUAUGAAUAUAUGCGGUGGAAAACGCACGCAGCAUAUGUGCGGGGACUAAGAUCACGAGAUGCCCCACUAAGUAUUGCUACCCUUGGAGCGAGGACCACUGCAAUUUUAAGCCCUAGACGCCCCAUAAAUAGAGCAGAAAGCAGCGUAGCUUCCAUACAGAUUGGCAUGUACUCACUCCGCCGCAUAAUAUAAGGUGUUAUUACAUCAAAUGUGUCUAUAAACGAACCUGAGAUGCCCAUUGAUUGCCAUUGGCACAAGUAGCAACUUGUCCCAUGAGAGCAGGUUGGGAUAACCCAAAUGAGACGUACAUUUCCUAUGAAAUAGUUUUUGCAUCCACGUAACUGGAGAAACACAUGAGAUACGAGAAUUCAAAAGUAACCUCAAUAGCAGAACUCACUAAAUCAAUUCAACCAUCACAAAGUCAAGCAUACACCACAUUGUAAUUCUAACUGAGCAUAUGAUUUCAAGCCUCGAAGGGCACUGCUAGGACAUCAGAUGGCUACAUCUAGUGCACAAAAAAUUCAAAUUAGGACCAACAUACAGAACCCAAUGCAUUGUUACAUUCCUUGGUAAGAAUGUCGGUGCAAAGUAUAGUCGAGCGUACUUUAUGACUUGCGCCUUAUUUCAUCAUCACUGGAGCAAGGUUCCAUUUUCCGCUGUACACUAGAACCACAAAAAAUCUGGCUUUCCUCAGUUCGUACUCACAAUCUCUGAGAUUAACAAUUUACCAUGGAGGUGAUGAAAUAGCUGUGUACAUACAACAGUAAGCUUGCAUGCUCCAAAGAAACCAACCGGGAAAAUCAACCUAAACUCUUCCCACCAAGGCCCUCGUAAAACAAGAUGUAUCCAUGAUCUGUGUUGCCUGAGUACUCAUGCGAAGAACCGAAGAAUGUUUGCAGGGUCGACUCUUCAACCAUCUCCACGUUUUCAUCAUCGAAGAACAGCCAGUGGUUGUGGCUUUUAACGAGGCUAACAUAAUGGCCAUGGUUGGGGCCGCUUCCAACAUGGACCACUACAGCAAAGAGAGAAUACUCGGUAUCUACAUCAUCAGAUGUACUGCCCAUCUUCAGCUCCAUGGGGAAUACAACCCGAUAUGAAAGCUUCUUAUACCGCCCAAGCUGCUCAAUGUACUUAAAGCGCUUUAGGUGGAUCACCAAUAUAUGGGGAGCCUUCUUGAUCUUCAUUCUCUUCUGUGCUUCUUGCAAACUGGAACAAGACCAGAUACUUGAGUUCAGCAAAUUAAGUUAAACUGAUGUUUCCUCCCAUGGUAGCUAGAAAAAUUAUUUCUUUCCAUUUCAGCCAAAAUGCACAUCACAAAAUAUGUUUUGACACAAGGAUGAAGAAAAGAGAUCGUUCGGGGCUUUAUGAUAUUUGCCCGCAUAUACAAUAAAAGGAGAUUACUCGGGGCUUUAUGAUGUUACCUACGUAUAUCAGAAAAAUGGGUACUCUCAAGGCAUGAAAUGGAGAUGUCUAGUAGAAACACAAACCAAUAAUAGGUCAAAGCAAACCAUAUUGCAUGAUGACAACAAGAAAAAUAGUACCCCCUCCGUUCCUAAAUAUAAGUCUUUUUAGAGGUUUCACUAGAAAACUACAUACGGAUGUAUAUAGACAUACUUUAGAGUAUAAAUUCACUCAUUUUGCUUCGUAUGUAGUCCCUUAGCGAAAUCUCUUAAAAGACUUAUAUUUAGGAACGGAGGAAGUAGAAGGCAAAUAUGGAAUAGUAAUAACCUGCAGCAUUUGUCACAGAAGAAUUUGUCCUCAGCAUUUAAAGUCUCAGUGGAGCUGAAAUUUUUCAGGCAGCUUGUAAUGGAACUAUUCUGCUCAAUGUCAACACUCAGAUCAAAAAACGUUUCGUCCCUUGCAGUUACUGUCUCACAUCUUAAGCAUUUGGUUUCAUUGGUCAGUAUGCCCUGUGUAGGUUGUAAUAAUAAAUAUAUAAAGAUAACACCGAAUAGGAACUUGAAGAAAGGAAACUAGGUAAACAUUAUGUCCAAGUCAUUUUCAUUAAGUUCAGUCACCUGGAAAUUCUUAUGAACCAAGGUAACAGGCGGCUCCUUUUUAACUCCGUUGGCCAAUGGUUGGACUGGCCCAUUUGGAACCUUUUCAGGAGAUGAUGAUUGGGGGGAGUCCUUCGCAGCACUGGACUCUUUCUCCAGAAUGUCAACAAGCUCAUUCAGGAGAAAAUUUAAGAACUCAUGAGCAUCCUACAGAAAUAUUAUGAACACAUUUGUUACUCAAGAUAGGUAAUUACAAGUACUGCUUUCUCAAUUGUACCAAUGACUACUUGGAAGGUUAUUCCCUAAGAGACUGUUUUACAAAGGCAGCACGGUUAAACUAAAGAAAGAUAACAGAUAAAAGCACAUGCCUGAGAAGACAAAGACUGCUGCAUACUCCCUGCGUCCCAAAAUAACUGUCUCAACUUUAUACUAGUUCUAGUAGAAAGUUGUACUAUGCUUAAGACAUUUAUUUUGGGACGGAGGGAGUAUAACAUGGCUGGGUUUGCCGUGUGAAAUAUAACAGAAUAUGACUACUUCGAAGGUUAUUCCUAAGAGACUGUUUUACAAAGGUAGCACGGUUAAACUAAAGAAAAAUGGCAGAUAAAAGCACAUGCCUGAGAAGACAAAUACUACUACAUAUAACAUGGCUGGGUCUGCCGUGUGAAAUAUCACAGAAUAUUAUCUAAAACACUACCCUCACUCCAUCACUUGGAUACAUCACUGCAACCAACAUUCAGAACUCUAUAUUUACAGAGGCUGCCUAAAAGUUGCAUCAAUAAGAUCAUCAUGAGGAUAUCAUGGCACAACCACUGACAUGUACUGCUAUGAUAUGUAUCAAAUUACCUGGUGCAUGUAGCUGCGAAAUAAUUCAUUUUGUUUCUUCACUCUUUGGACAAAACGUUUUGGAGCAAUAACGCCUGUCUUUUUCUUGGAUUGACUUACCUGCAUGAAAUAUUAUCAGCUGUCAUACUUUCAGGAAAUAUUAUGAGCUUUCAUUAAUUCAGUACAAACGGAAAUAUCCUGCCACAAGUUUCAUAUCACAUAAAACAUACAGAGAAGACCAUUGAGCAACGAUGAUGCACAUGGAUGAAUUGGUGGUUAAGACACCUUGCCAUCAUUGGUAUACAACUUCGUAUCAAAGACAUUAUAUAUAUGUUGGUCACUAGGUGUUCAUCAUCCAAUAACUCGAGAAUGAGAAGCUAAAACGGUAAUAUAGAUCUGUUGACAGCAAUCACCAUUGAAGGCUGAUUGUGUAGAUUCAUUUUUCAAACCUCAAUCAAUAAUGAUAGAACAUGGCCAAAGCACUAUACAAUUCCAAGUCAAUUUGCAAAAGUAACAACAUGCCCAUUGCUCAAACACAAUUACAUAUCACUAGGUUAAGCUUAUCUUUUUCUCCGGUUUACCUGCAUGAAAAGAUCCGCCAAACAAGUCAAAAGGUUUUCCUCUGCGUCUCCAGGAUUUUUGUUAUUCGUAUAAUAUUCGAGUAACUGCUCCCUGAACGGAGUGCAGAAAUAAAGUGCCUGAAACAGAAGUAUGGGUAAGGUUCAUGUAAAUAAUUCAGAUGUGUUAGAACAGUCGAUUACACAGCAUGGCAAACAACUAUCUGAUAAGAGCAGGAUAUGAGCAAAACAUUUGUCACAAAGAAAGGACAGAACAUAACUAAACUGGAGAAAAUAUGGCAUAAGAAUGAUAACAGUAGUAGGAUGUAAACAGUACAAACCUACAUGAAAGCUAAGAUAGCACAUCAUGGAAGUCCAUCCAAGCCAGAAAACGCUACUCCUAUAUCAUAGCUACAUCAUUGUGCAAAUUGGCAGCUAAAAGGUGUACCGUGUACAAGUGAAUAGAGAAUACACAAAAAGAUUUAUUUCCCAAGCAUGAAAAAACAUUGCUGCAUUAAACAAAACUAACACAAUCUCGGGAGAAAAAAGUUUUAUCCUAGAUCUUCUCUAUGUCAUGGAUAAUAUGAGGAUAGUGAUAGCUACAAAAUAUAAUCUAGCCUGCCUGCAUAUCCACAAUAUGCACCAAAACACAUCUUACAGUUUUACACUGAACCUUCUCCUAGUGAUGAAAAGUAACUUUAAUGUAAUCAUGGGGGAGCAGAAUUGUAUAAAGAAGGUUAGAGACCACAUUGGCGAACAAUUGCUUGGUGUGUCUGUAAUGAGCCUAAAAAAGUAUAUGAGACACAACAAGGGUCUGGCAGCAAUUGAGAAUGGAUAGUGAUCUCUCGACGAUUUGUCAUGUUACCUCCUUUUAGAUGAGAUAGCUUGAGUAGGGGCUAAGCCAACUGACCAAUAAAUGGGGGAGCAUGUGGGUGCUCUACUAGGAGCUUGGGUUAGAGAUAGACAAGUUACCACAGCAAAUCAUCAAAAUAGAGAACAAACAACCCAGUGGACACUCUUAAUUUGAAGCAGAUAAAUAGAGGCAUUUUGACACGCCUCUAACUUGCAAGCAAUGAAGCAAUCUUGCUGAAGGCAUUUAAUCUUUGUAAAAAGGUGUGUUUCGGAUAAAUGCAUCAAUUUCGGAUAUUGACCAGGCGCACUUAAAUCUAUUUCGGAUGUACAGUGUUUAAUUCAAAAGAUUUUGGAGGUAUCAAUGUAUUCGUAAAAGACAAGCUCAUACCGGUAUUCCAAACGGUAGGAUGUUGUUACUAUACCUGGCUGUAAUAAAUUCUUAAACACGCUAACGACAUACUAUGUGAACACAGUGCAAUCAUAACCAAACAUCCAUGUGUCACAUAGCUCAGUUUGGGGAGUUGCGCCGUCGAAAAAUUCCCCCCACCCAUAUCGUCAUAUAUAUUUCACAUUAUACCAACACGGCGCUGAAUCUAGUGAGCAUCUACUAUGCCAACAUAACAAGGAGCACAUUCAACCCAACCGCAAAAAAACAAAGGCGCCUCCGCCUCAGAGGCUAUCGAACUGCCACCUAACAGAAUCAUUUAAACAUGUAUACUGCACAGAUUACCGCUUAGCAUGCAAGGCGCAAAAAAUCUAUAGGCCACAAGUUCCCGGGAUAGGAUAUGAAGACCUGGAGUACACUGUUGCAGUAACAGGUGUUGCCAAAGUUCUCGAGUCCGAAGUAGCGCUCGCCUUCAGGGAACUGGUCGCCGAGGGCCUUCUCGAGCUUGGAGCCGCUGGCUCCCAUGACCAUCCACCGGUCCCACCACCCGGUGGCGGCUCCGGUGAGGUACCGGAAACCUGACCCGAGCCCGGAGCGGCUCCUCUCGGCCGCCGAGGAGGCCAGGGCGGAUCUAGAUGGUGCGCGCACCGGGAAUUUGUGGAGGUUAGCUUGGGACUGAGCAAUCACCGUAUGAACAAGAGCUCGUACCUCAAGAACCGAUGUCGGAUAUGCAGGCGGGGGUGGAGUCAGCGGUGACGCGACGGGGUAGAAACGAGGGCGGCGAUGGCGGCGACGCGCGUGGGGGGCGAAGGAGUUGGGUGGGUGAGGCGCCGGCGGUGACGCUUAGCUCCAGGGCACGGCGGCGGUGGCGUAUGGGAGGAGAUUUUAGGAGCUCGUUGGGUUUGGAUGGAUUGGAGCUUGGGCUUGGGUAGGUCAGAGUAUGAGAGCAGCGUGGGAGAGGAGUGGAUCGGGAAGGAAGAGGAAAGGUACGGGAUGGUGGAGGGGGAAAAGUCUGGCUGCCGAGUGGAACAUGUAUUUUGAUGGUUCAGAUCGUUCCCUGCCAUGACAUUUGACCGCAUCACGAUAAACACAGAGUAGUACUCUACUCCCUCCAUUUCUCUAUUAUUACCCUAACGCGUUUCGUAAUUUUUUUAGAAGGGGAAUAGGAAUUUAGAGAAGGGGUCGUACAUGGGAAAUGACAUUUUACUUUCAAUCCCUUGUUUGAUAUCAGAGAAUAUUACAUGUGAGAAUUUGAAGGAGAUGCUAAUUCCUUUAUUUGGUUAUUAGUAGGAAUUCAUCCGAUGACCGAAGGAUGAUACAUCUCUUAUACAUCCUUUAUUUGGUUGUAUUUUUUUAGCAUCCCCAUUAACUUAUUUAUCUCAACAUGAAAGUAUGUAGAUUGUCAUAUAAUUAUGGAUAGAUAAGGCUCACUUCAAUAUGCAACCAUGCAUGAAAAAAUAACCACCACCACCACAUGUAAUCGUGCAUGAAAAAAUAUUUUGCAUUAUACUCCCUCCGUUCCUAAAUAUAAGACCUUUUAGAGAUUGUACUAUUAACUACAUACGGAUGUAUGUACACAUAUUUUCGAGUAUAGGUUCACUCAUUUUGCUCUGUAUGUAGUCUUCUAGUGAAAUUCCUAAAAGAUCUUAUAUUUUGGAACGGAGGGAGUAUUAUUUUACUUAUAUUAGAUAAAUAUUUUACAACCAUACAUAAUAAACUAUAAUAUGUCGUAUGUAAUUUUAAUAUCAGUCCACAUGUUAUUAACCUAAAUAUUUAUAUUCAACAUAACUAAAUCUUAUUGAAAUAUAUGGCAACUGAUUCCAGCGGCAAGGUCGUCUAUCUUCUAAUUAUGUUACGUGGAAAGGUUAAAAUGUUCUCCAUAUCUGAGCUUCCUCCCAAUUCUCAUCCUCUCAUAUGUAAUAAAAUGGUGAAAGUUAAACUUUGCGUCUAAUCUUUCAUGAAUUUCCAUCAGUCCAACCAAACAAGUGAUUUUAUAUCUGAGAACCCUUAAACUCGUAUUCCUUCCCUCUAAUCACGCGCAACCAAAUGGGUUGUUGAAAGGAUCAAUAUGGUUGACUAAAAAAGGGUGAAUAGGCAACUGUCAAUUUUUAGCUUUUUUUAACAAAUUAGGUUUAGCAAUAAAUAGAUUGUCUAGAUAUGCAACUAGGUAAACAACCUAUAUGAUGCUAACAACAACCACAACAAGCAAGUAAAGUAAUACAACACAAGUAAAGCUUGCGCAAAGUAAAAGUAAGAGGUAACCACAAGUGAAACCGAUGUAGACGAGGAUGUGUUACCGAAGUUCCUUUCCUUUGAGGGGAAGUACGUCUCUGUUGGAGCGGUGUGAAGUCACAAUGCUCCCUAAGAAUCCACUAGGGCCACCGUAGUCUCCUCAUGCCCCCAGACAACGCGAGAUGUCGUGAUUCCACUAGUGGUGCACUUGAAGGCGAUGACCGAAUAUUUUACAAACAAGGUUAGUGCAACAUCCAGAGCUUAAUUGGAGUCUCCCAACAACAGAACGAAUCUUCACUAUAAUGAAUUGUGGCUAUGAGGUGACCUCGACCGUCUAGGGUGCUUAAACGCCCAAGAGUAACAAGAUCCACAAGGGAUUAGUGGGGGAACCAAAUUUCUCUUGGUGGAAGUGUAGAUCAAGGCCUCUCAAGCAAACCCUAGAACAUCAACAUGUUGUGUUGGCUAGAGAGAGAGAUCGGGCGAAAAUGGAGCUUGGAGCAACAAUGGAGCUUAGGGUUAGGAGAGGUUAUCUUCUUGGGGAAGAAGACCUCCUUUAUAUAGUGGGGGGGACAAAUCCAGCAGUUAUCCCCACUCAACCCGCACAUAAGCGGUACUACCGCUCCUGAGAACGAUACUACCGCUAGAGCGGCAGAACCAACCACACAGUAAAAUGGCAUGAGGCCAUGGGACGAUAGUGUCAUCAGAGCGGUACUACCGCUCACCCCCGCAACAUUACCAUUGGGGUUGUAGUGAAGCAGCCCUACAGACACAGAGAGGAAGUAGAAGCCGAGGCAGUUUCGCGUGAGCGGUACUACCACAGAUAAGAGGUGGUACCGCUUCCUGGUACUGCCUAGAGUCCAUCGAGGAUUCCUGGCUCAGAAAGAAGGGCAGAAGUGGGGCCGUAGUAACAGGUGGUACUACUGCUCGAGAGCGGUAUUUCCACGCCGUACUAUCAGCCAGAAAUCACUCAGUCCGACACGAAAAAAAUUGAGACCCCGAAGCCAACGGUAUAGCGCGCGACAUUAGGCAAGGGCACUACCGCCCAUAGGCGGUACUAACGCUGCCAGGAGUGGUACUAUCGUAGAUAAGGGGCAGUACCGCUGCCGAGAGCGGUACUACCGUAGAUAAGGGGUAGUAUCGAUGCCUUGCGCGGUACUUCCGCUUGGUUCCUUAUAGACUAGAAUAAGGAUAAAAUCGGAGCUCCAAAAAUGCGGGAAAGGAACAUGGGUGCAAAUGAGUGUACGUUGUGAUUCCACCAAACCUUUCCGAUGCCAACCCCUCUUAAUAGUACGGUUCUCCUACGACUAAAAUCCACCAAAAAUGAAAUGCGGAAAGAAACCGUCUUCACUCUAAUCCACCGAGGGGGCAAGAAUCGUCUUCUGCCAUAUGAUGAAAUAUCUGAAAGGCUUAAUGCACAUGAUUAGUCCGCAAAUGCAUUGUCAUCAAUCACCAAAACCACUAGGGUAGAAAUAACCUUACAAUCUCCCCCUUUUUGGUGGAUUGAUGACAACACGGGAUUUGCACAAAUAACAUCAUGAGACAUAAAGCAAAUCCCAACAUCUACAAAAUAUAGACGGGCUCCCCCUAGAUGUGUGCGCUAUAUUUGAUAUGCUUUUGGAAUGCAAAGCACACACCUAGGAUCAACACUCCCCUUAUAUUCUAUAGAUAGGCACUACUUGCAUUAAGAGAAUAGAAGAUAAAUAUAAGUGCAAGAAGUGACAUGUGAGCAUAAACAUAGGGCACAAGAUAAGCAUAACUCACAUACUAAGACAUAUAGAGAUAAUUAAAGGGUAGCAUAUGUAUCGCACCAUAUGAUGCAGUCACUUAAGUCUCACACACAUAAACCAAACAAAGCAAAUGAUAGAAGAGUCCACGACUGUAGAAAACACAAGCAACUAAGACGCACUCGUGACUCGGAAAAUCCCUAAAAUCUCUCCUCCUUUGGCAUCAAGACACUAUAAGGGCAGAGAAAAGUAAGAUGACCCGAGGUGGUAGCAACUCAUGGGACCAUCUUCAGUAUUCUCCGGACUCUGGGCUGAAAGUUGUGGUGCCGGGCGGAGCUAUUGUGCCAGACGGAGCUUUGCGCUGGGCUGAUCAACAUCGGAAUACCACUUGCAGUUCUUGGUGAUAGAGUCCCGAGACCCACUCCUUAUCUCAGCCCUGGUUGCCUGCCAAUCACCUUGUGUCGGCUCCUAGCCUCCUUCUCUACAACACGAGCCUUAUACUGACCAUGUGCCUCCAUGCAAAAUAGUUUCUUCAUCUUCUCCUUGAGCUUCUUAGCCUAAGAUGGCUCAGCAUGAGAGGGCGCCAAACUGGAAGCAGCGCCACCCUCGGCCACAUAGUCAUCAUCAUCCUCGUCAUCCUCAUCCUCAUGCAGAUCGAUCUCAGGAGCCGCAUGAGUGGACCACUUGUCUUUGUGCCUCAGCUACACAAUCUUGUGGGGAACCAACUCAGCACAUUCAAACAUGACGCCUGGAAAGGUCUUUACAAAUCGACAUGUUACACAUCCAAAACCUCCACCUCAUCAUUUUUCCUCACAAAACUCACGACAGAGCAGCAUAUCCACCAGAUAUGAGUGUACGUGGUCCAGAUUCCCAACACAGGGAAAGAGAGUGUGCGUGAAGAUGCGAUGCAAAAUGUCAAGAAAUGGUUCAAGCACAUAGGUUGACUUGCCAGUGGUGGAGGAGAUCUUCACAAUGCUGAAGGGCGAGAGAUGGUUCUUGUGAAUGGAUGUGGUCUCCUUGUGGGGGCGAAAUCCAAUUGGUUUAUGGAGCCCCUUAUCCUCAUAGCCUAGCAGACACAUGAACUCCUUCUAAGUAGUAGACAACAACUUCAUUUGUCAUCUAGGUCAAAGUCCUGUCCUCAUCGGUUCCAAGAUGGACCAUAGCAAAGAACACACCCACCAACUCUGCAUCAAAGUCCUUGUUGAACUUCAUAAGGUUGGUAAUAUCAAGAUUCUCACACAUGCUAAGAGCAUCACCAAAGUAUUAGGCAUUCUUAUCCAGAUAGUACACAUCAAUGGACUUGACAUUUGGAACAUACAGGUUCUCCUUGUGCUUGAGUAUAUCAUUAUAGAUAGAAACCUGUUGCCAGGUCCAGAAGGGGCGGUUGCGAAUAGUUUAAUCUUGGGGUUCCUCAGACGAGUUGCGAUGGCGGAUGAGCCAGAUCUCUUUGCUGGGCAACUGAGCCAUUGACUGAGACUUCUUAGGCUUGGUUGCAUGCUAUUUGGCCUUUUGCUUGGGAGGUGGCUAAUUGGAACUGUCCUCCUCUAAGGAGCAGUAGCGCUUAGAGCUCUCAUGACUUGGGUUCAUCCUAUGCUCCCGUUGAGCAGAGUUGCCACCACUGGUAUCAAUGGCAAGAGGAGAAGGUGGGGAUUGAGUCCAGCGGUCAGAAUUACGGAAGAACGAGCAGAAACGGAGAUCAGGCGGCGGUCUCCAGAGCACUUGGGUCGCGUGGAGAGAGAAGCACAUGGAGGAAAUGGGUGAAUGGGUAUGAGGGAGUGUGAACUUCCCCUGCCCGCCCCAUAACCCCCUCAUGCACCCGCCCAAGCGGUAGUACCGCGGUGGGGCAGUAGUACCACUGAUAAGAGGUAGUAACUCCCAAGUCCCCGGUAGUACCACCUAAGAUGAACACAAGGCAAAUACACACUAUGAAUGGUGGCUUAUGCAAUUUAUGAGGCUUAGAUGAGAGUUGGAGACUCAGAAACCAGUAAAUGGGAGGGACACUCCAUGUUUAAAGACUCAAAAACGAAGAAAAACAAACUUGGAGUGACAUAAAACACAAAUAAGCUCUCAAAACAGAGUGCCUCACUAGGGGGGUGCCGAAGCCACGUAUGUUUGAGCCAACUGGUAUGUUACCGCGAAGAUUUUAACCUUGGGCCCAUGACCAAUACUCGUCUUUGAGGCACAAGUACCAUAAAAAAUGGAUGAUGUGAAAGACUUGAUCGAUUUAUGCAUAAUAAGGGGAGGGAGAGUUCAUCGAGAGAACAAUACACCCCUAUGCCCAUGUCUGCAUCUAAACAAGAUAAUAUGAUGAGUGUGGUGGGGUGUGCAAUACUUCAAGCCACAUUCCUCAAAUCAAUGAUAUUUAGCUCAUGCCUUAACUCACGAAAUCGUGCUUCAUCCAAUGGCUUCGUGAAUAUAUAUGCAAGUUGAUCAUUAGUGUUGAGAUGAAUAAGAUCAAUCUUCCCACGCUUGAUAUGCUCCUGGAUGAAGUGCUGACGAAUCUCAAUAUGCUUCGUCAUGUAGUGUUGAACCGGGUUGUUGGAGAUCUCGAUAGCACUCUGAUACGUCUCCAACGUAUCUAUAAUUUUUUAUACUUCCAAGCUAUUAUAUUAUCAUUCUAGGAUACUUUUGGGAGUAUAUUUACCAAUUAAUAUUAUUUUUGAGCACUAACUUAUGGACCCAGUGCCCAGUGCUAGUUGUUGUUUUCUACAUGUUUUUGGCUUUUCAGGUUUACAGUAUUGAACGAAGUCCAAUUGCCACAAAACUUUUUGGUCAUUUUUUCUGGAUCAAAAGAAGACCUGGAAGCUUCGGGAGGAGGCCAGAGGCCUCAUAGGGAGGCACGAGCCAACAGGACGCGACCAGGGGGUAAGGGGCGCCCUGUUUGCCUAGUGCUCCCCUGGGCUGCCUCCUCGCGUACCUCUUCGUCCUAUAAAUUCACAGAUAUCCCCAAAACCCUACAGAGCAACCCAAAACACUUUUUCCGCCACCGCAAGUCUCUGUUUCGCCAUGUGCCCAUCUCGAGCCCUUUUUCGGUGCCCUGUCGGAGGGGGUCGAUCACGUAGGGCCUCUACAUGAUCCUUGCUUCUCCCAUGGUGAUGUGUGAGUAGUUCACCAUAGACCUACGGGUCCGUAGUUAGUGCCUAUAUGGCUAUCUAUAUCUCUCUUGAUCUUCAAUACAAUGAUCAUCACAACUUCGCUUUGAUCUAUUCGAUGUAAGUCUUUUGUGCGAUGCGUUUGUUGGGAUCCGAUGAAUUGUGAGUUUGUGUUCAGAUUAUUCAUGGUAAAUAUUUGAGCCUUCUCUGAAUUCUAAGUAUGAUUCUUAUGUGCAUGAUCAACAUAGCUUCGUAAAUCUCUUCGAUCUAUUGAUUUGUGUUGGCCAAGUAGAUUGAUCUUUCUUUAGUGAGAGGGGUGUGUUGUAGCGGGUUCAAUCUAACAAUUUCCUAUAUCCUAGUGACAGAAAGGGACAAGAUACGUCUUUGUAUUGUUGACACUAAGGAUAAAAUGAUGUCGAUAGUUCAUAUUAAUUGAAUUCUAUUUGUCUACAUCAUGUCAUCAUUAUCCAAGAAUUACUUCGUUUUACAUAAUACUCUAGAUGCAUGGUGGAUAGUGCUCGCUGGUGGAGUGAUAUUAAUAGGUGCACGCAGGAGUCAGCCUACUUGCUUAUGGACGUGAUGCCUAUAUACACAUGAGCAUUGUCGUUAAUAUCACAUAACUAUGCGCUUUUCUACCAAUUUCCCAACAGUAAUUUGUUUACCCACCGUAUGCUUACUUUCAUGAAAGAUGCCACUAGGGAAAACUAUGCCCCCUGGUUCUAUUCACUUAUAAGUUUACAAACAUUAUAAUUUCCUCACUACCUUUGUUUAUAUUUUAUUUACUUUUCACUUUGCAACAUCUAUAUACACACUUUACUUGCUUGCAAAUAACAAUACAAGGGGAUUGACAACCCUCUUGCCCGCGUUGGGUGCAAGUGUUUGGUUCUUUUGUGUGCAAUCACUGAAGACGGGGGAUGGUUUUUACUCCUAUUGGUUCGAUAAACCUUGGUUCUCUACUGAGGGAAAUACUUACCUAUAUUGUGCUGCAUCACCCGUUCCUCUUCACAGAAAACCCAACGCAGAUCACAAGCAUCACACUCUCGUUGUCACAGUAAAGAGGCACUUUGUCACAAGUGACACCAUAAUCCUUUAAAGUUUGCCUCAUCCAAAGAAAACUGUGAACAUCAACUUGCGACGACUACAUACUCGGCCUCGAUGGACAAGAGAGAAACACAAUUUUCUUUUUUGAACACCAACUUACAAAAGAGUUGCCAAGGCAUUGGCAACCUUCGGAAGUUGACUUCCUCUCCACACGACCUCCCGUCCAAUCCGAGUCCGAAUAUCCCAUGAGAUCAAACGAAGCACCUUUUGGAUACCAUAAGCCAAAGUUUGGGGUACGAGCCAAAUAUCAAAAGAUUCGCUUGCCACCACAUAGUGGCAUUCCUUAGGUGUGGCUUGAAAUUGUGCACAAAUUUCCACAUUCAACAUAAUAUCUGAUCUAUAUGCACAAAGAUAAAUGAAGGAUCCAAUCAUGGAGCGAUAUACCUUUUGAUCCACGGCUUUACCAUUGGGAUCAAUGUCGAGUUGGCACUUAAGUGGCAUGGGGGUCUUGGCCGGCUUGACAUCAUCCAACUUGAACCUCUUGAGCAUGUCUUGAGUGUAUUUUGCUUGGUUGAUGAAGGUUCCCUAGCUUCUAAUCCAAGCAGGAACUUCAACUCUCCCAUCAUAGACUUCUCAAACUCUUUGGUCAUUAGUGCAUCAAACUCAUCAUUGAAAGCUUUGUUAGAGGAACCAAAGAUAAUAUCAUCAACAUAUAGUUGGCAUAUGAACAAGCUACCUUUAACCCUCUUCGUGAAAAGAGUGGGAUCAAUUUUCCCAAUUUCAAACCCAUGGUCUCGCAACAUAUCACUAAGGUACUCAUACCAUGCACAUGGGGCUUGUUUAAGGCCAUAGAGUGCCUUAUCGAGUUUGUAUACAUGAUUGGGAACUUGGGAUCCUCGAACCCUGUGGGUUGCUUGACAUAUACCAACAUCUUAGGUGGACCAUUAAGAAAUGCACUCUUCACAUCCAUUUGAUAUAAUUUGAAAUCAUGAUGAGAUGCAUAUACAAGUAACAUGCUGAUACGUCUCUGUCGUAUCUACUUUUUCGAACUCUUUUGCCCUUGUUUUGGACUCUAAUUUGCAUGAUUUGAAUGGAACUAACCCGGACAGACGCUGUUUUCAGCAGAAUUGCCAUGGUGUUGAUUUUGUGCAGAAAUAAAAGUUCUCGGAACGUCCUGAAAAUUUACGGAGAUUUUUUCCGGAAUAAAAGAAAAAUACCUGCGCAAAGAUCCACGUGAGGGGGCGUGCCAGUGGGCCACAAGCCCACAGGCCGCGUCCACCCCCUAUGGUCGCGCCGUGCAGGCUUGUGGGGACCACGUGGCACCACUGCCCCCAAUCUCAGCUCUAUAUCUUUUGUUUCGCCUGAAAAAAAAUCUGAGAGAAAGUUUCAUCGCGUUUUGCGAUACGGAGGCGCCGCCACAUCCUGUUCUUCAUCUGGAGGGCAGAUCUGGAGUCCGUUUCGGGCUCCGGAGAUGGGAAAUUGUCACCAUUGUCAUCAUCAACCUUUCUCCAUCGACAAUUCCAUGAUGCUCUUCAUUGUUCAUGAGUAAUCUCAUCGUAGGCUUGCUGGACGGUGAUGAGUUGGAUGAGAUCUAUCAUGUAAUCGAGUUAGUUUUUAACGGGGAUUGAUCCCUAGUAUCCACUAUGUUCUAGAUUGAUGUUGCUACUACUUGGCUAUGCUUAAUGCUUGUCACUAGGGCCCGAGUGCCAUGAUUUUAGAUCUGAACCUAUUAUGUUGUCGCCAAUAUAUGUGUGUUUUAGAUCCUAUCUUGCAAGUUGUAGUCACCUACUAUGUGUUAUGACCCGGCAACCCCGGAGUGACAAUAGCCGGAACCACUCCCGAAGAUGACCAUAGUAUGAGGAGUUCAUGUAUUCACCGCGUGUUAAUGCGUUGGUCUGGUUCUUUAUUAAAAGGAGAACCUUAAUAUCCCGUAGUUUCCAUUAGGACCCCGCUGCCACGGGAGGGAUGGACAAUAGAUGUCAUGCAAGUUCUUUUCCCUAAACACGUAUGACUACAUACGAAAUACAUGCCUACAUUAGAUUGAUGAACAGGAGCUAGUUACAUAUCUAUCUGUGUUAUAGUUGUUACAUGAUGAAUCACAUCCGUCACACUCAUCCAUCACCGAUCCCCUACCUACGAGUCUUUUACUAUUGGUCCUCGCUACGUUACUUUUCCUAGGCUUGUCCCUUGCUACAAAAGAGAUUGGGCCACUUUGCUGCUGCUGUCACUACUGCUAUUACUUGUCGCUUUGCUGCUGCUGUUACUACUGUUGUUACUUGUUACUUUGCUUCUGCCGCUACUACUGUUCCUUGCUACUCCGCUGUUACUUGUUGCAAGACUUUGUUGGCGCUAACAUCCCAUCAACAAGGCUUUUUCUGGCACCGUUGUCGGGGAUUGUCAAAGCUUUUUCUGGUGUCGUUGCUAUCAUACUACCUUGCUACUGAUACUUUGCUUGCAGACACUAAUCUUUCAGGUGUGGUUGAAUUGACAACUCAGCUGCUAAUACUUGAGAAUAUUCUUUAGCUUCCCCUUAUGAGCGAAUCAAUAAAUUUGGGUUGAAUACUCUACCUCGAAAACUGCUGCGAUCCCAUACGCCUGUGGGACAUCAAGGCUUUUUCUGGCGCUGUUGCCGAGGAAGCACAACUAUAUUCUCAGAGUCACUUGGGAUUUACGUUUGCUGAUCACUAUGAGGAAUCCGAAAGAUCCAAGAACUAAAAUCCCGCCUUCCACUACGAGGAGAGGUAAGGAACUACCAUCUAGCUCUGCACUUGAUUCGCCUUCAGUUAUGAGUAAGUUUGCGACUUCGCCUCCUGCUAGAAAUCUUGAUAUGUCGCCUGUGCUUGAUGAUGCUACUUCUGCUGCCCAUGAUGCUAUGCUUGAUACUAUGCCUGAUGAUGCUAUGCUAGAUACUAUGCCUGAUGAUGCUAUGCUUAAUACUAUGCCUGAUGAUGCUAUUCCUGAUACUGCUUUGCCACUUGGUGCAUUCCUGAUACUGCUUUGCCACUUGGUGCAUUCCUUGAUGCACAUAUUACUAGAGUUGCUGCUAGAUGUGAUGAUACUUCUGAAAUUGCUGAUACUAUUGAAGUAGAACCUGCUACUAUGCCUGAAUUGCCUGUUAUGCCUGAUACGCGCUACGUUAUGGAGGGAGAGAUAGCUGAGGAUUUUCUUGCAUGUAAGGAUAGCUAUGAUGUUGAGAAAUUACUGCGCAAGUGGAAAAAAAAUCUCUGAACGCUAGGAUGAAAUACGACCCGAAGUUUGCCACUUCGCCUAUCUUUGUGACCGAUAAGGAUNNNNNNNNNNNNNNNNNNNNNNNNNNNNNNNNNNNNNNNNNNNNNNNNNNNNNNNNNNNNNNNNNNNNNNNNNNNNNNNNNNNNNNNNNNNNNNNNNNNNCAGUACCAAGGUCCAUGGCACGUGGGAGAGGAUCCCACCAAUCAGAAUUGGAGAAGGGUGGCUAGAGAUGGAGAUCCGGCGAGUCCCUUGGGCAACACUUUGAGAGAGGAGAGAGAAAAAAUAGGAGGAACUCGGGAUGAAUGGGAAAAGGGGGAAAACUGCCUCCCCUGCCCUUUAAAUACCCCCGAGGUCGUGGCGGCGCGGUAGUACCGUUGGGCCAGCGGUAGUACCGCUGGGCCAGCGGUAGUAAAAAUUUACUAUCGUGCUAGGGGUGGUAGUACUGCUUGGUCAGCGGUAGUAAAUUUUUACUACUGUGCUGGGGGCUGUAGUAUCGUGCUUCUAUUGACAAAAUUGCCUAAGAAACUUGCUCUACUCUCCUCGACAAUAAAAAGGACUUCAACAAUUCGAGUGAUCAAGAUAAAAAAGAAGAGAAAACCCAAACAAGGAUGAGAAUCAACACGUAAACGCAGAACCGAAUCUCUUGAUGGAGAGAGGGCGGUGGNNNNNNNNNNUAAGUGGUAUGACACCGCGAAGAAUUAUCCUUGGGUUCAUGACCACAACUUGUCUUUGAAGCACAAGUGCCAUCAACAAUGGCUAGUGUGAAAGACUUGAUCAAUUUAUGCAUAAUAGGGGAGGAUAAGUUCAUUGAGAUAACAACACUCCCCCUAUGUCCAUGCCUACAUCUACAGCCAAAUAUAAUGAUGAGUGAGGUGUGGUGUGCCUGGUUUCAAUCUACAUUACUUGAAUCAAUGAUAUUUAGUGCAUGCCUUAACUCGCAAAACUUUGCUUCAUCUAGAGGUUUGGUGAAAAUAUCUGCAAGUUGCUCUUGAGUGUUGAUGAAAAGGACCUAAAUAUCUCCUUGCUUGAUAUGAUCUCGAAUGNNNNNNNNNNNNNNNNNNNNNNNNNNNNNNNNNNNNNNNNNNNNNNNNNNNNNNNNNNNNNNNNNNNNNNNNNNNNNNNNNNNNNNNNNNNNNNNNNNNNAAUAACGAGAAGGAGGAGGAGAAGGAGAAGGUCUUCUCCUCCUUCUCCUUCUCCUUCUCCUCCUCCUUCUUCUCCUCCUCCUCCUUCUUCUUCUUCUUCUCUUCUUCUUCCUCUUCUUCCUUCUUUUCAUUUUUCCUAUUUCUUCUCCUUUUCUCCUCUUGUUGGAGCUAAAUUAUCUAAUUAUGUCUUUUUGCAGCUAUAUGGGCUAAUUAUGCCAUUUUAGAGGAAAACAAGCUAAGAAUAUAAUAUUCAUGAGCUAACCAAGGUUUUAUGCCAUUUUAAGCUUAUUAUGUCAUUUUGGAGCUAAAUAGGCUAAUUAUGUCAUUGUUGGGUAAAAUAAGGUAAGGAGAAUAAGAAAGAGGAGAAGAAAGAGGAGUAGGACAAUAAGAAGAAGAAAUCAAGAAGAAGGAGAAGAAGAAGAAGAAGGAGAAGGAGGAGGAGGAGUAGAAGGAUGAGAAGGUCUUCUCCUCCUUCUCCCUCUUCUCCUCCUUCUUCUCCUCCUCCUCCUCCUUAUUCUUCUCUUCUUCUUCUUCUUCUUCUUCCUUCUUUUCAUUUUUCCUAUUUAUUCUCCUAUUCUCCUCUUGUUGGAGCUAAAUUAUCUAAUUAUGUCUUUUUGGAGCUAUAUGGGCUAAUUAUGUCNNNNNNNNNNNNNNNNNNNNNNNNNNNNNNNNNNNNNNNNNNNNNNNNNNNNNNNNNNNNNNNNNNNNNNNNNNNNNNNNNNNNNNNNNNNNNNNNNNNNNNNNNNNNNNNNNNNNNNNNNNNNNNNNNNNNNNNNNNNNNNNNNNNNNNNNNNNNNNNNNNNNNNNNNNNNNNNNNNNNNNNNNNNNNNNNNNNNNNNNNNNNUUAAGGUAAGGAUAAUAAGAAAGAGGAGAAGAAAGAGGAGGAGAAGAAUAAGAAGAAAUCGAGAAGAAGAAGAAGAAGGAGAAGGAGGAGCUUCUCCUCCUCCUCCUUCUCCUUCUUCUUCUCUUCUUCUUCUUAUUAUUCCUUCUUUUUAUUUUUCAUAUUUCUUCUCCUCUUCUCCUCUUGUUGGAGAUAAAUUAUCUAAUUAUGUCUUUUUGGAGCUAUAUGGGCUAAUUAUGUCAUUUUAGAGGAAAACAAGCUACGAAUAUAAUAUUCAUGAGCUAACCAAGGUUUUUAUGCCAUUUUGAGCUUAUUAUGUCAUUUUGGAGCUAAAUGGGUUAAUUAUGUCAUUUUUGGGGAAAAUAAGGUAAGGAGAAUAAGAAAGAGGAGAAGAAAGAGGAGGAGGAGGAGAAUAAGAAAUCAAGAAGAAGGAGAAGAAGAAGGAGAAGGAGGAGAAGGUCUUCUCCUCCUUCUCCUUCUUCUCCUCCUUCUUAUCCUACUCCUCCUUCUCCUCCUUCUCCUUCUUCUUGAUUUCUUCUUCUUCUUGGAGCUACGUAAGCCUUAUUAUGUCAUCUAAUAGCUAAGUUUGGGGAAUAGAUCAUCUUGGAGCUACGUAAGCCUUAUUGUGUCAUUUAGGAGAGAACUUAGCUAAGUAUAGGUCAUUUUUUAUUAAAUAGGCAAUUUUGGAGCUAACUAAGAUAAUUAUGUCAUUUAGGUGCUAGCCAAGCUAAUUAUAGGUCAUUUUGGAGCUAACUUGGGUAAAAUUUGUCAUUUUGGAGCUAACUAUGCUUAUUAAGCCAUUUUGGAGCUAGCUAAGCUAAUUAUAGCUCAUUUAAUAGCUAAGUUAGGGGGAAUAGGUCAACUUGGAGCUACGUAAGCGUUACUAUGUCAUUUAGGAGAGAACUUAGCUAAGUAUAGGACAUCUUUUAUUAAAUAGGCCAUUUUGGAGCUAACUAAGCUAAUUAUGUCAUUNNNNNNNNNNGCCAUUUAAUAGCUAAGUUAGGGGGAAUAGGUCAUCUUGGAGCUACGUAAGCCUUAUUAUGUCAUUUAGGAGAGAACUUAGCUAAGUAUAUGCCAUUUUUAUUAAAUAGGCCAUUUUGGAGCUAACUAAGCUAAUUAUGUCAUUUAGGUGGUAGCCAAGCUAAGUAUAGGUCAUUUUGGAGCUAACUUGGCUAAAAUAUGUCAUUUUGGAGCUAACUAUGCUUAUUAAGCCAUUUUGGAGCUAGCUNNNNNNNNNNCGAAGCCUAGCUAACUAUAGGUCCUUUCGGAGCUAACUUGGGUAAAAUAGGUCAUUUCGGAGCAAACUAUGCUUAUUAAGCCAUUUUGGACCUAGCUAAGCUAAUUAUAGGCCAUUUAAUAUCUAAGUUAGGGGGAAUAGGUCAUCUUGGAUCUACGUAAGCCUUAUUAUGUCAUUUAGGAGAGAACUUAGCUAAGUAUAGGUCUUUUUUUAUUAAAUAUGUCAUUUUGGAGCUAACUAAGCUAAUUAUGUCAUUUAGGUGGAAGCCAAGCUAACUAUAUGUCGUUUUAGAGCUAACUUGGGUUAAAUAUGUCAUUUUAGAGGAGGAGGAGAAGAAGAAUAAUAAAUCAACAAGAAGGAGAAGAAGAAGAAGGAGAAGAAGGAGGAGGAGAAGGUCACCACCUUCUCCUCCUUCUUCUCCUCCUUCUCCUUCUUCUUCUCUUCUUNNNNNNNNNNNNNNNNNNNNNNNNNNNNNNNNNNNNNNNNNNNNNNNNNNNNNNNNNNNNNNNNNNNNNNNNNNNNNNNNNNNNNNNNNNNNNNNNNNNNAUAGAGAGAGAGAGAGAGUUGAUUCCUGCAAUACUAUAUAUAUAGUUGAUCCUUGCAAUACUAUUUUUAUUUGUCUCAAUAUGAACACAUGUCACUUGACCAUACAUACCACCUCAUGAACUCCACUACUUAUAUUUCUCUCAAUAUGCAUGGAAAAUGCUACAUACUAUACUUUAUAAAUAUUUUACAAAAAGUUAUAAUCAAGUUCAAUAAAGCAUAUGUAUUUACAUUUUUCGAUCUCAUAUUCAUAUUCUGGAUAACCAAAUCUCAACAAAAUAUAUAUGCUGCAAGAAAUUCCAAGAACAUUUUGAGUGUCAUUUUCGGAAUGUUGGAAUGAAAAUUUCUUUAUAGAUCCAUAUAUAGGGGUGGGGUGUGGUGGCUCACCGGCAAGGGCGGCUGUGGCGUCGUGGGCGGCGGGGCCGGGGGUGUUGGGGNNNNNNNNNNUUUGGUGAAAAUAUCUGCAAGUUGCUCUUGAGUAUUGAUGAAAAGGACCUAAAUAUCUCCUUGCUUGAUAUGAUCUCGAAUGAAGUGAUGACUAUAUCAAUUUGCUUGGUCUUGCUAUGUUGUACCGGAUUAAGGGAUAUAUUGAUAGCACUCUCGUUGUCACACAGAAGAGGCACUUUGUCACAAGUGACACCAUAAUCCUUUAAAGUUUGCCUNNNNNNNNNNNNNNNNNNNNNNNNNNNNNNNNNNNNNNNNNNNNNNNNNNNNNNNNNNNNNNNNNNNNNNNNNNNNNNNNNNNNNNNNNNNNNNNNNNNNUGAUAAUUAUAUAUGGAAGCAAGGCAUAGCAUGUGAGCAUGAAGAUAAAGGCACAAGAUAAUAAGACUGACAAGCUAUUAAUAAAAUAGAUAAUAAUGAGAUAAAGGAUAGGGAAGAUAUAGCAUGUGCCUCACACCAUAUGAUAAAGUCUGACGUCUCAUAGUUUCACCCAUAAAGCAAAGACAACCAGCGAAAGCAACUAAAAUUUAAACAAAUAAAACGACCACGAAAACAAGAAAACGAGCAAAUACUACACUCUCUCCCCUUUGGCAUCGGGACACCAAAAAGGCAGAGAGGACACCUACAACAUAGGUGGUAGCUCGAACUAGAGAGAAUGUAGCCAUCAGUCUCUGGUCUCCUCCUGAACAUACUCCUCAUCUGAAUCAUCGUUUGUCUCCUCCUCAGAGCCCUGGUCAAACGCAGCCCACUGCAGCUUGUUCUUCUACAUCCACUCAGCCUCCGGGGUGAUCUCUCGCUCAGAUCCACUAGAGAUGUGCAUGUCAAGCUUCCUCGUGAUCAUCUUGCCACGCUGAUGACUCUCCUUCUGAGUGACAUGGGUCAUGUACUGUCCCUUGGCCUGCAUGCAAAACAAGGUAUUCAUCCUGUUGGUGAGCUUUUUGGCCCAUGACGGCUCGGCACAGGAAGGCAUGUGUGACUCUGGAACAGCCUCAUCCUCAGCGGCAGCCACAUCGUCAUCAGAAUCCCUAGGGGCAGCAGGUGUAGUUGAGGUGUUUGCCCAUUUGUCCUUCUGGCGCAGUUUGAUGGGCUCAUNNNNNNNNNNCGAACGAUGAAGAGCAUCAUGGAAUUAUCGAUGGAGAAAGGUUGAUGAUGACGAUGGUGACAAUUUCCCCUCUCCGGAGCCCGAAACGGACUCCAGAUCUGCCCUCCAGAUGAAGAAGAGGAUGUGGCGGCGCCUCCGUAUCGCAAAACACGAUGAAACCUUCUCUCUGAUUUUUUUUCCAGGCGAAACGGAAGAUAUAGAGCUGAGUUUGGGGGCGGUGGUGCCACGUGGGCCCCACAAGCCUGCACGGCGCGGCCUAGGGGGGUGGUCGAGGCCUGUGGGCUUGUGGCCCACUGGCACGCCCCCUCAGGUGGAUCUUUGCGCACGUAUUUUUCUUUUACUCUAGAAAAAAUCUCUGUAAAUUUUCAAGACAUUCCGAGAAAUUUUAUUUCUGCACAAAAACAACACCAUGGCAAUUCUGCUGAAAACGGNNNNNNNNNNUGAUUUUUUUUCAGGCGAAACGGAAGAUAUAGAGAUGAGAUUGGGGGCGAUGGUGCCACGUGGGACCCACAAGCCUGCACGGUGCCUCACGUGGAUCUUUGUGCAGGUAUUUUUCUUUUAUUCCAGAAAAAAUCUCCAUAAAUUUUCCGGACAUUUUGAGAACUUUUAUUUCUGCACAAAAACAACACCAUGGCAAUUCUGCUGAAAACAACGUCAGUCCGGGUUAGUUCCAUUCAAAUCAUGCAAAUUAGAGUCCAAAACAAGNNNNNNNNNNCGGACCAUAGAUUGGGAUCUUACGGUGGAAGACAGCGGAGUACACCUCGUUCCACAUAACAUGAGAGACAUCCAGUGGUCCAGAGGGGCGAGUCCGCCCCUUCUGACACAUGAUGAGCAUAUCUACCAGGUAAGAGUGGACCUGGUCCUNNNNNNNNNNUGGAAAAGUAGAUACAACGGAGACAUAUCAUGCAGCACAUCCAGAAAAGGGUUCAUAACAUAGGAGACCUCACCAAAUGGGGUUUGCUUCACAAUAUAGAAUGGUAGCAACUUCUCCUUGGCAANNNNNNNNNNUGAUCAUCAUCAGUGUGAAAGUGAACAAUAGCGAAGAAGUGUGCCACCAACUCAUAAUCAAAAUCUUGCUGAAAAGUGAUGAGCUCCUCAAUCUGAAGCUGGUCCACUAUGGACAGAGCAUCACCAAAAUAUGCAGGGUCUUUNNNNNNNNNNGAAAAAUGUGGUGCAUCACAUCCAGAAAAGGGUUCAUAACAUAGAAGACCUGACCAGAUGGGGUUUGCUUCACAAUAUAGAAUGGUAGCAACUUCUCCUUGGCAAUAGCAGUAGGGUUGGCAUGUGGGCGCAAGCCAACAGGGUGGUGAGGCCCCUCAUCCUGGACAUGCAGAAGAUCCAUGAAAUCCCUCCACUUAGCAGACAUCACUUCCCCAUUUGUCAGCCAGGUCAUGGUGCGAUCAUCAUCAGUGUGAAAGUGAACAAUAGCGAAGAAGUGUGCCAUCAACUCAUAAUCAAAAUCUUGCUGAAAAGUGGUGAGCUCCAGAAUCUAAAGCUGGUCCACUAUGGACAGAGCAUCACCAAAAUAUGCAGGGUCUUUCUUCAGAUGGUUGAUAUCAAUCCACUGCACAGGAACAUAUAAAUUCUUCUUCGAUUUGAGGACAUCGUCAAAGAUAAGAAACUGAUCUUUAUUCCAGAAGAUUUCACCUCCAGGGAACUUCUCCCUAUUGCUGUUAUAGGGGUUGAUCCUUCGGCGCCGCUGAAACUCUCCCAGUGGCAUGGUAUUCCAGUCAACAGUGUUCUUGUACUUCUGAGCAGUCUUCUUGAAAUUGCGCUUGGGAGCUUUAGAACCCUUGAGAACAUCUGAUGAGCGGGGAUGCUUGGAGCUCGCAUCCCGAGGGGGAUUAGAACGCCUAGAACCACCACCUAUGAUACACAAAAAGCAAACACAACACAAAGACACAAGACGCCAAGGCAAAGAUCAAGAAUCAACAGAAAAGGCCCAAAAAGGAGAGGGUAAUGCGUGUGCAAAAGGAAGGGCGGUAGUACGGCCGCUGGAGCGGUAGUAAAAUUUUACUACCGCUCUAGCAGCGGUAGUAAAAAUUUACUACCGCCCUGGCAGCGGUAGUAACACUGCUCGAGCGGUAGUACCGCACGGGAGGCAGAGNNNNNNNNNNNNNNNNNNNNNNNNNNNNNNNNNNNNNNNNNNNNNNNNNNNNNNNNNNNNNNNNNNNNNNNNNNNNNNNNNNNNNNNNNNNNNNNNNNNNUUAAGCUAAUUAUGUUAUUUCGUAGGAUAAUUAGCCAAUUUAGCCUUUCUUGGAUGAGUCUAAGCUACGUAGAAGAAGAGAUAGAGAAGAAGAAGUAAAAGAAGGAGGAGGAGGAGGAGGAGGAGAAGAAGAAGAAGGAAGAGGAGAAGAAGAAGGAGGAGGAGGAGGAGGAAGAGGAUAAGAAGAAGGAGAAGAAGGAGAAGGAGAAGGAGGAAGAAGGAGGAAGAAGAAGGAGAAGGAGGAGCUCCUUCUCCUUCUUCUCCUUCUUCUUCUCCUCCUCCCUCUCCUCCUUCUUCUCCUCUUCUUCUUCUUCCUUCCUUUCAUUUUUCCUCCUUUUCUCUUCUUGUCCCCUUCUUCGGGCUAAAUUGGCUAANNNNNNNNNNGCUCCUUCUCCUUCUCCUCCUUCUUCUCCUUCUUCUUCUCCUCCUCCCUCUCCUCCUUCUUCUUCUCCUCUUCUUCUUCUUCCUUCCUUUCAUUUUUCCUCUUUCUUCUCCUCUUGUCCCCUUCUUCGGGCUAAAUUGGCUAAGAAUGCCUUUUUGGAGCUAAUUAUGUCAUUUCGAGGAUAAUUAGCUAAGUAUAGGUCAUUUUUUAUUAAAUAGGUCAUUUAGGAGCUAACUAAGCUAAUUAUGUAAUUUCGUAGGAUAAUUAGCCAACUUAGCCUUUCUUGGAUGAGUCUAAGCUACGUAGAAGAAGAGAUAGAGANNNNNNNNNNNNNNNNNNNNNNNNNNNNNNNNNNNNNNNNNNNNCAUUUCUAGGAUAAUUAGCCAAUUUAGCCUUUCUUGGAUGAGUCUAAGCUACGUAGAAGAAGAGAUAGAGAAGAAGAAGUAAAAGAAGGAGGAGGAGGAGGAGGAGGAGGAGAAGGAGAAGGAAGAGGGGAAGAAGAAGGAAGAGGAGAAGAAGAAGAAAACAAGAAGGAGAAGGAGGAGAGGGAGGAGGAGAAGGAGGAAGAAGGAGGAAGAAGAAGGAGAAGGAGGAGCUCCUUCUCCUUCUUCUCCUCCUUCUUCUCCUUCUUCUUCUCCUCCUCCCUCUCAUCCUUCUUCUCCUCUUCUUCUUCUUCUUCCUUCCUUUCAUUUUUCCUCUUNNNNNNNNNNNNNNNNNNNNNNNNNNNNNNNNNNNNNNNNNNNNNNNNNNNNNNNNNNNNNNNNNNNNNNNNNNNNNNNNNNNNNNNNNNNNNNNNNNNNGCCAAGACCCGUCCCUCCCCUCCCCUCCCCUCCCGCCGCACCAAGCCCAGGCACCAAACAAAAAACCAAUCACCACUCGAGAAAGUUACGCACCAAGAAAAUAGCAGGAGGAAAAACAGGCCACUCCUCUGGCUCGUGCGCCUGCGCUCACUCCGAGAAAAGAAAAAUCGCCUCACCCAAUCCAAUCCAGCGCAGCGCAGCGCUGCUGUUCCUGGGAUUCGAGAGGGAGCCUGAGCUGCCCGGUUCUUGGCUGGCUCCAUGGUUUCUCCGACGUGCCUUUGAUCCGAGGACGAGGAGGCUUUCUUGGAUAGGUGGUGGUGGUUCUUGGAUAGGAUAGGAGGGGAGAGGAGAGAGGAUAGGGUUGUGGGUUGGCCGGCCAUGUCGGUGUCGUCCUCGUCUAUGUGCGGCGGGGACGCCGGGAUGAAGUGCGUGGUGUGGUUCCGGAGGGACCUCAGGGUGGAGGACAACCCGGCGCUGGCGGCGGCGGCGCGCACCGCCGGGGAGGUGGUGCCGGCCUACGUGUGGUCGCCGGAGGAGGACGGGCCNNNNNNNN